AUGUAUGAAUGCUGUGGUCGUU
RNAcentral lists this microRNA (22 nucleotides) under Oreochromis niloticus (Nile tilapia). RNAcentral's name for it is "oni-miR-10952". Lineage: Eukaryota; Metazoa; Chordata; Actinopteri; Cichliformes; Cichlidae. The record is from miRBase by way of RNAcentral.